RNAcentral lists this ribosomal RNA (740 nucleotides) under uncultured bacterium. RNAcentral's name for it is "bacterial SSU rRNA". It matches the Rfam family "Bacterial small subunit ribosomal RNA", at positions 8 to 796 of the family's 1533-position model. The record is from RNAcentral.
AGAGUUUGAUCAUGGCUCAGAACGAACGCUGGCGGCAGGCUUAACACAUGCAAGUCGAGCGCCCCGCAAGGGGGGCGGCAGACGGGUGAGUAACGCGUGGGAAUCUACCCUUUUCUACGGAAUAACGCAGGGAAACUUGUGCUAAUACCGUAUGUGUCCUUCGGGAGAAAGAUUUAUCGGGAAAGGAUGAGCCCGCGUUGGAUUAGCUAGUUGGUGGGGUAAAGGCCUACCAAGGCGACGAUCCAUAGCUGGUCUGAGAGGAUGAUCAGCCACAUUGGGACUGAGACACGGCCCAAACUCCUACGGGAGGCAGCAGUGGGGAAUAUUGGACAAUGGGCGCAAGCCUGAUCCAGCCAUGCCGCGUGAGUGAUGAAGGCCCUAGGGUUGUAAAGCUCUUUCACCGGAGAAGAUAAUGACGGUAUCCGGAGAAGAAGCCCCGGCUAACUUCGUGCCAGCAGCCGCGGUAAUACGAAGGGGGCUAGCGUUGUUCGGAUUUACUGGGCGUAAAGCGCACGUAGGCGGAUCGAUCAGUCAGGGGUGAAAUCCCAGGGCUCAACCCUGGAACUGCCUUUGAUACUGUCGAUCUGGAGUAUGGAAGAGGUGAGUGGAAUUCCGAGUGUAGAGGUGAAAUUCGUAGAUAUUCGGAGGAACACCAGUGGCGAAGGCGGCUCACUGGUCCAUUACUGACGCUGAGGUGCGAAAGCGUGGGGAGCAAACAGGAUUAGAUACCCUAGUAGUCC